This 149-nucleotide ribosomal RNA is filed under the name uncultured Atopobium sp. Its description in RNAcentral is "partial 16S ribosomal RNA". The record is from RNAcentral. Lineage: Bacteria; Bacillati; Actinomycetota; Coriobacteriia; Coriobacteriales; Atopobiaceae.
UCCAGUAGUUAGCCGGGGCUUCUUCUGCAGGUACCGUCACCUUGCGGCCUCGUCCCUGCUGAAAGCGGUUUACAACCCGAAGGCCUUCAUCCCGCACGCGGCGUCGCUGCAUCAGGCUUUCGCCCAUUGUGCAAGAUUCCCCACUGCUG